Non-coding RNA from Potamilus streckersoni, 74 nucleotides. NCBI's taxonomy places the organism in Eukaryota, Metazoa, Mollusca, Bivalvia, Unionida, Unionidae. The record is from the annotation of a GenBank genome assembly.
AGCUCCGGUGGCCUGGUGGUUAGAGCGUAAGCCUCGGAUACGAGAGGUCGUGGGUUCGAUCCCCGGUCGAGUCA